RNAcentral lists this ribosomal RNA (254 nucleotides) under uncultured bacterium. RNAcentral's name for it is "partial 16S ribosomal RNA". It matches the Rfam family "Bacterial small subunit ribosomal RNA", at positions 524 to 776 of the family's 1533-position model. The record is from RNAcentral.
UACGUAGGGUGCGAGCGUUGUCCGGAUUUAUUGGGCGUAAAGAGCUCGUAGGCGGCUUGUCGCGUCAACUGUGAAAACCCGUGGCUCAACCAUGUGGUCUGCAGUCGAUACGGGCAGGCUAGAAUUCGGUAGGGGAGACUGGAAUUCCUGGUGUAGCGGUGAAAUGCGCAGAUAUCAGGAGGAACACCGGUGGCGAAGGCGGGUCUCUGGGCCGAUACUGACGCUGAGGAGCGAAAGCGUGGGGAGCGAACAGG